ACUCCUACGGGAGGCAGCAGUAGGGAAUCUUCCACAAUGGGCGCAAGCCUGAUGGAGCAACACCGCGUGAGUGAAGAAGGGUUUCGGCUCGUAAAGCUCUGUUGUUAAAGAAGAACACGUAUGAGAGUAACUGUUCAUACGUUGACGGUAUUUAACCAGAAAGUCACGGCUAACUACGUGCCAGCAGCCGCGGUAAUACGUAGGUGGCAAGCGUUAUCCGGAUUUAUUGGGCGUAAAGAGAGUGCAGGCGGUUUUCUAAGUCUGAUGUGAAAGCCUUCGGCUUAACCGGAGAAGUGCAUCGGAAACUGGAUAACUUGAGUGCAGAAGAGGGUAGUGGAACUCCAUGUGUAGCGGUGGAAUGCGUAGAUAUAAUGGAAGAACACCAGUGGCGAAGGCGGCUACCUGGUCUGCAACUGACGCUGAGACUCGAAACGCAU
RNAcentral lists this ribosomal RNA (437 nucleotides) under uncultured bacterium. RNAcentral's name for it is "bacterial SSU rRNA". It matches the Rfam family "Bacterial small subunit ribosomal RNA", at positions 335 to 762 of the family's 1533-position model. The record is from RNAcentral.